Molecule: non-coding RNA, 71 nt
Organism: Schistocephalus solidus
Lineage: Eukaryota; Metazoa; Platyhelminthes; Cestoda; Diphyllobothriidea; Diphyllobothriidae
Source: Rfam
GAGCCCGUGGCUCAAUGGUAGAGCGUUCGACUCGAAUACCAAAGGUAGCGGGUUCAAAUCCCGGGUGUUCC